This 560-nucleotide ribosomal RNA is filed under the name uncultured bacterium. RNAcentral's name for it is "bacterial SSU rRNA". It matches the Rfam family "Bacterial small subunit ribosomal RNA", at positions 119 to 674 of the family's 1533-position model. The record is from RNAcentral.
AGGAAUCUGCCUAUUAGUGGGGGACAACAUCUCGAAAGGGAUGCUAAUACCGCAUACGUCCUACGGGAGAAAGCAGGGGACCUUCGGGCCUCGCGCUAAUAGAUGAGCCUAAGUCGGAUUAGCUAGUUGGUGGGGUAAAGGCCUACCAAGGCGACGAUCUGUAGCGGGUCUGAGAGGAUGAUCCGCCACACUGGGACUGAGACACGGCCCAGACUCCUACGGGAGGCAGCAGUGGGGAAUAUUGGACAAUGGGGGGAACCCUGAUCCAGCCAUGCCGCGUGUGUGAAGAAGGCCUUUUGGUUGUAAAGCACUUUAAGCGAGGAGGAGGCUACCGAGAUUAAUACUCUUGGAUAGUGGACGUUACUCGCAGAAUAAGCACCGGCUAACUCUGUGCCAGCAGCCGCGGUAAUACAGAGGGUGCAAGCGUUAAUCGGAUUUACUGGGCGUAAAGCGCGCGUAGGUGGCCAAUUAAGUCAAAUGUGAAAUCCCCGAGCUUAACUUGGGAAUUGCAUUCGAUACUGGUUGGCUAGAGUAUGGGAGAGGAUGGUAGAAUUCCAGGU